RNAcentral lists this ribosomal RNA (253 nucleotides) under uncultured bacterium. RNAcentral's name for it is "partial 16S ribosomal RNA". It matches the Rfam family "Bacterial small subunit ribosomal RNA", at positions 524 to 776 of the family's 1533-position model. The record is from RNAcentral.
UACGAAGGGGGCUAGCGUUGUUCGGAAUUACUGGGCGUAAAGGGCGCGUAGGCGGUCCUGAUCGUCGGAUGUGAAAGGCCUGGGCUCAACCUGGGAACUGCAUCCGAUACGGCGGGACUGGAGUGUGGGAGAGGUUGGUGGAAUUCCCAGUGUAGAGGUGAAAUUCGUAGAUAUUGGGAAGAACACCGGUGGCGAAGGCGGCCAACUGGACCACAACUGACGCUGAGACACGAAAGCGUGGGUAGCAAACAGG